This 414-nucleotide ribosomal RNA is filed under the name uncultured bacterium. Its description in RNAcentral is "partial 16S ribosomal RNA". It matches the Rfam family "Bacterial small subunit ribosomal RNA", at positions 356 to 784 of the family's 1533-position model. The record is from RNAcentral.
UGGGAAUCUUGGACAAUGGGGGCAACCCUGAUCCAGCCAUGCCGCGUGGGUGAUGAAGGCCUUAGGGUCGUAAAGCCCUUUCGCCGGGGAAGAUAAUGACGGUACCCGGUAAAGAAGCCCCCGGCUAACUCCGUGCCAGCAGCCGCGGUAAUACGGAGGGGGCUAGCGUUGUUCGGAAUGACUGGGCGUAAAGCGCGCGUAGGCGGAUCAGGAAGUUGGGGGUGAAAUCCCGGGGCUCAACCUCGGAAUGGCCCUUCAAAACUCCUGGUCUUGAGUUCGGGAGAGGUGAGUGGAAUUCCGAGUGUAGAGGUGAAAAUUCGUAGAUAUUCGGAGGAACACCAGUGGCGAAGGCGGCUCACUGGCUCGACACUGACGCUGAGGUGCGAAAGCGUGGGGAGCAAACAGGAUUAGAUA